AUGCUUACCCGGCAGCUGAGAUGCCAUGGUCUAGAAGGUGGUUUUCCCAAGGUGAAGCUUAUAAAUUGUAUUCCAGGUAUGUUAAGCCCUGCAACUUCCCCAAACACAGAACAUCCCACUGCAUAAUUUGUGGUCCUGGGGACUUGUGUUCAUGCGUUUCUCUC
Molecule: small nuclear RNA, 164 nt
Organism: Mesocricetus auratus (golden hamster)
Lineage: Eukaryota; Metazoa; Chordata; Mammalia; Rodentia; Cricetidae
Gene: U1
Rfam family: U1 spliceosomal RNA
About the family: U1 is a small nuclear RNA (snRNA) component of the spliceosome (involved in pre-mRNA splicing). Its 5' end forms complementary base pairs with the 5' splice junction, thus defining the 5' donor site of an intron. There are significant differences in sequence and secondary structure between metazoan and yeast U1 snRNAs, the latter being much longer (568 nucleotides as compared to 164 nucleotides in human).
Source: Ensembl